Molecule: ribosomal RNA, 292 nt
Filed under: uncultured bacterium
Lineage: Bacteria
Description: partial 16S ribosomal RNA
Rfam family: Bacterial small subunit ribosomal RNA
Source: RNAcentral
GUGUCAGCCGCCGCGGUAAGACGAACCGUGCGAACGUUGUUCGGAAUCACUGGGCUUAAAGGGCGCGUAGGCGGGCUUGCAAGUCAGGGGUGAAAGCCCACGGCUCAACCGUGGAAGUGCCUUUGAUACUGUGAGUCUGGAGGGAGGUAGGGGCGUGCGGAACUUCCGGUGGAGCGGUGAAAUGCGUAGAUAUCGGAAGGAACACCGGUGGCGAAAGCGGCGCGCUGGACCUCUACUGACGCUGAGGCGCGAAAGCCAGGGGAGCAAACGGGAUUAGAAACCCUAGUAGUCC